This 133-nucleotide unclassified non-coding RNA is filed under the name Haliotis rubra (blacklip abalone). RNAcentral's name for it is "sodium- and chloride-dependent neutral and basic amino acid transporter B(0+)-like, transcript variant X1". Lineage: Eukaryota; Metazoa; Mollusca; Gastropoda; Lepetellida; Haliotidae. The record is from RNAcentral.
UCUUCCUCAUACGGGGCUCCUUGUUGCCAGGGGCGACAGAUGGACUGUUUUAUCUGAUAAGACCAGACUUUGAGAAGUUGAAAAGCCCCAACAUAUGGAUCGAAGCGUGUGGCUACGCCCUUCACUCCAUGGG